GUUUUUCAGCCGGCUGUUUCCAGUUUGGAGCUGUUACAAACAAAGCUGCUAUGAACAUUCAUAUACAAGUCUUUGGAUGGAUGGCUUUCUUUUCUCUUGAGUAAAACCUAGGAGCAGAAGUCUGAAUGAUAGGGAACAGAUUGCAUGUGCCACUCAGGAGUGGACUGGUCCAGGCAUUUGGGCAGUGUCCUCUGUGCUGCUUUGCUGACGGGAAGUCAAAGAGCCAGGAUGGAGCCAUUCACCAAGAAAGGGUUAUAUGUUUUACUUUUCUCUUCAAAGACGGGAUAAAGUUAUGUCUGUUGUUUUCAAGAAGUUAAAAAACAAAAUAAAACAAGAAAACACUUCAGACUUGAUAAGUGCUGAUUCAGUCUCCUGAAGAGAAAUUAUGAUAUAUCCAAGGAUGCCUGAAAGUUGUACACUUCUCAAGAGAUUAUUGUACAUGAUAUAACUUAAGAAGCUACAACUGAAAAGAGAAAAU
Molecule: long non-coding RNA, 478 nt
Organism: Choloepus didactylus (southern two-toed sloth)
Lineage: Eukaryota; Metazoa; Chordata; Mammalia; Pilosa; Megalonychidae
Exons: 3
Source: RefSeq, a predicted model, not a curated record